Molecule: long non-coding RNA, 4212 nt
Filed under: Corvus moneduloides (New Caledonian crow)
Lineage: Eukaryota; Metazoa; Chordata; Aves; Passeriformes; Corvidae
Description: lncRNA (ENSCMUG00000018249.1)
Source: RNAcentral
AUACUGUUGUACUUUGCUGAACGUGUUAUGUCAGAUUAAACAUGUGCUGAAUGUUUUUUAAUUACAACGCUUAGAAGAAAAUUCUAAAGCAUGUUGCCACACAGUUAAUAUGUGGGUUUAAAGGUUAUAUAUGCCCUGAUGAGAGGAACUGGCUAGGUUAUCAAGAUCCAUAUUUUAUUUUGAGGCAAGAAGGCUGAUGCAAGCCCUGAAGUGACCUGACAGUUUGCUGGCAAGUUUGUGAGAGUGACAGAAGCACCACUGCUCAUCACAUGAAUUCCUCCAGACACCCGGGCUCCAGCCUCCCUCCUAAGGCUUCAAACCUAAAGGUACGAGCAUCUUAUGCCCUGGGGGCUGAAUGCAUGGAAUGAAAUUCACAAUCUGCUCCAAGAAGAAAUGCAGUCUGUUCAUCACCAUGUGCAAGGCACUAAAAUCCUCUCCAGAAGUCUUCCUCAUAUUGGUCUGCAGUGCUUCUCUGUGCUGGAUGUACUUCUGUACAAACACACCAGUGCUUGACAAGAAAGAUCCACUGUCCAGAACUGUUCGACAUACAGCUGAAAGCAAGCCAGGUUUCUAUUUAAUAAAAAUACAUAAGCCACAGAUCCCUGACAAAGGAAGAAGCUGUGUGCAUAGCAGCUGGAUAUCAAAUAUGACACCUGGAGGAGGAGGAGGAGGAAUAAAAAGAAGACAACAAACGUUCAGAAUAUUUCUUUGUUACACUAUCUGUUCUGCUGGACAGAGCACUUCACAGUUAUGACUACUUGAGACCUAAAAUAAUUACAAAUUCAUAUAUUACUUUCUGCCUCAGGCAUCUGGGUCUACUAUUUACAGAAAUUAAUAUAAAUGGGGUGUCAGUGAUUUGCCUGACUGGAAUAAACAUGCUCAAGCACAGAUAUCUGUGCAGAAUAUGCAGAGAAAUUUGAUAAAGAAGCAGAUGGCUUGCAAUUUUCUCCUUUUUAUUUCUUGCUCUAUCAGCACUAACAAGACUCAAGACACUGUUCCCAAGCUUGUAGGUUUUAAGUCUGGGUGCUAUCAUUUGUAACUUUCUAACAGGACUUUUCAAGGGGGGGAGCACUAAACUGAUGCCACUUCAGCACCACUUGUGAUCACUGAAGAAAAGGAUACUUAACACAAAGAGCAGGAAAUUAUUUGCUAAGGUUUAAUUUACAAACCUACCAACCGUGAUAUUCAGUCAUCAACUUGUUUUGCACAGCUGGUGCAGGUACAGGAAGAACAGCCACCCCUCCACCUUCCCAUUAGAACAGAGGGUCUAGUGAACAACACACCACAUCAGCGCACUGCUGCUGAGCAAUUUCCUUUCUGUUUUACUAACAACUUUCUCUACUUGGAAGCUGGAAGUUUCUCUUUUUCCACCGAUGAAAUUAGGGAGAAAAAACCUCACUGUUCACUGUGUCCUGAUGGAGGUGUGUAGUUGAGAUGAUUUUGUACAAUAUGUAUCUCAGCUGAAGAACUGUGUUACAUGAACUAGUGUCUCCUUUUUAUAUUUUUAUAUGGUUCUCAUCUCAGGUUUAGUGAAGGGGUUCCCCAUUCAACACAACAUGCACUGUGAAAACUUAACAUUGCUACAUACUCCAUACAUCUAGGAUGAUACUUUGAUCUUUACAGUGUUGUUCACAGACCUAUCAUCUCCCUAAAGGUCUUUCUGAUCCUCCCGACCCAUGUCAGUUCAAGACCUGCUACUUAUGAAGCUUGUCCUGAUUUUUCAGGCUUCCAGUUUUGGCCAGUGUAGGAGCCAAGCUGUCUGUUCUUACAGCCAGAGCUCAAAUGUGAUGGGGUCUCACCGUUACAAUUCCAUGUUCGAGGGAAGAAACAUUCCCAGUGGAAAUUCCCAGAAGCAGUUUUUGGGUUUGGGAAGUUGGACUCCAUAGAGAAAAUUCUAUGAAGCUUUAACAUUGUCCAUUCUUUUUUUUCAUCCUUUUUAUGAAUUCUACCCCAAACAUCAGACUUGUUGCUAAAGGAGUUUUUUUAUUCCGUGUUGUUAAAGUACUGUCAAGUGGGAUUGAAGCCAUUUGGCUUAAAUUCCCACUCAAAAUAAUACAGGUCCCCAGAUAGAAUAACACCCAUUCAGCUACUCCUGCAAUGCAAUUGAUAGCUUGUUUGCCAAUAAUUUCACAUGUGGACAUGUGCCAUAGUUAACAGAGCACAUGUGGAUCUCUUGUAGGAAUUCAGAGCCCAGUGAAUACAAGACAAAAAAGAGUAAAAUUGGAAGAGGAGAAAAAUACACAAAAAAGGAGAAGAGAUGAGAUACACUUCAAGAUAGAGCAGGUGUGCAGGUUCUUCUUGACCUUUGAUUUCCAAAAAGAGGAAUUCAGGAAGUGAGACGACUUUCUGUGAAUAGAUCAAAUACCCUGGAGAUAUAGAGGCCAAGAGAAAAAGGUUAUAGGCUCCUUCUUAUAAAUAAUUGAUUCAGCUGAUGAUCAAGUAAUGUACAAGAAGUUUAGUGGAGAGAAAGAAGGAGAAGGUUUAUUAUGCAGUAGAUAGAAAAGGCCAUUAUUUAAUUUCCUUCCAUGGUGCAUAAAUUGGGAGGGGCAUAUGCGAACACAGGGUUUAGUUUGUGAACUUUGUGAACUCUGGAAGUCCAUGUAUUCAGAAGUUGCUGCGUCCUGUGGCAAGCAGAUGAGCUUAUUGCACAGCAGAAUUUGGGUUCAUGGAAAGCUCCUCAAUUUCUAAAAUCAUAGAAAGCAAGAAUAAGCUACUGUUGGCAAUAUGGAGAUCAGGCUAGCCAUAGCAAAACCAAAUGCAUGUACUGGCCAGAUCAUAACCCAGAAAACUCAAUCCUGUUCAUUCCUUACUCAAAUGUGUGAUGAAAAAUGGAAUCCCCCCUCCCCUUCCAGCAGUCAUCCUGGGCCAGCAACAGCUUACUAUGCAUGUAGCAGCUGUCUUUUUUUUUUGGUAUUUCUUUCUUUUUUAUAGAUUUUUUUUUUUAAUAAUUAGAAGAAAACUUGUCAUAAUGAUUAAUUGCAGAGGAAGUAAUGUAUUAAAUUGGUCAAUAUCGAAGUUAUUUGUCUCAGACACAAUACAGUGGUGUAUUAAUCAUGAAGAUUGGAAUAAAGUCCCUUUAUGGAUUCAUUAUGGACAUGAAUUAAAAACAUCUUUAAUUUGUCCCUACUAAAGCUCUGCAGAGCUUUAAGUGCUUCUAGAAUUUAAAUGAUUGCCACAACUGGUCUCAUGGAAAAGUCUGAGAAUAGAUUUUUUUUAGUGCUGGAAGAGAUACAUGAGAACUGUUUUUCAUCUUAUUUGUGUAUAAAAUGUAAAUGCCACUGCAUUUAAUAUAGUAAGGUUACAUCAAUAUGGAGUAAAUGAACUAAAAGGGUCUUAGAACUCAGUACUUAUUUCUACGCUUCACUAAAUUACAUUAUUCCUGGAGACCAGAAUUCCUAUCCCAUUUUCUUAUCAAAUCAGCUACACAUUAAAUGUCACAGAUUUUAAAUCUGCUGGGUACUGUCAGGGUCCCUUCCCCCCUGCCAUGUAGCCCUGGGAGAGGGGCUCUGGGUGGGAGAGAUGGGCUUUCCCUGCCCCUGGUCAGCCUCGUUCCCCAUUGGUUGGUUUGUGUUCCCCUGCGGGGGCAAGGACCCUCGGGUCCCGUGAUUGCAGCAGUUCCUCGGCAGAUCCCGGCCAUGCGGCUGGAGAAAUAAACAUCCCUGAAACAUCUAUCGAGAAUCAGUCCAUAUAGAUUUCUUUCCCAGGGCCUUGUUGUUUGAUACAUCGUGUUACAGAAUCCCCACUGUAAGAAAUGGUGGCGAAUUGCGAGCAAAACAAUCCCCGAUCCCUAAGCGACUGGUUUGUGAGUAAAGAAACUUUGGAUUCCUCUUCUUGGUUUUGUUUUGCUAUUCCAUAUCUAAACCGUGGAGGAACCGUGGGAAGACUCUUGGCUCUCAGAGCCGCAUAUGGACAUUUAUCUAAAACUUGAAAUGAUUCUUGAAAAACGAUUUGUAAAAUUUAGCUUGAUUCAAGCUCAAAAGGAACUGAAACACUUCCUGGAACGGUUGUUAAGAUCUUUUUCUGUUUCUUGGGAUUUCUUACCAAAGACUUUUGGAACACUGUUUGGACACAGUUAAUUUUUGAGUCAAAAUAUAUGCCGAUGGAAGAAUAUUUUCGUGAAUAUUAUUUAAUUACCGAGACUGUUGAGCAAUGUCAGCUAUGUCCUGGCUCAGGGAAACGUGCCUCAGGGACUGUGCGACCCAGGCCACGUGG